This 96-nucleotide microRNA precursor is filed under the name Ovis aries (sheep). RNAcentral describes it as "miRNA (ENSOARG00000025040.1)". Lineage: Eukaryota; Metazoa; Chordata; Mammalia; Artiodactyla; Bovidae. The record is from RNAcentral.
GCUGUGGGCAUUUGGCAUUGUGGUUCCUGCAUGAAAACAGUAGCUGAUGGUGCCUGGACCUACAGCCCGACCUCUGCUGUCACAGAGAAGUCUGCC